UAACACAUGCAAGUCGAGGGGUAACAGGGAUUGCUUGCAAUCCGCUGACGACCGGCGCACGGGUGCGUAACGCGUAUGCAACCUACCUUUUACAGGGGGAUAGUCAAUAGAAAUGUUGAAUAAUACCCCAUACGAUCUUUAAAUAGCAUUAUUUAAAGGAGAAAGCUCCGGCGGUAGAAGAUGGGCAUGCGUCCUAUUAGUUAGUUGGUAAGGUAACGGCUUACCAAGACUUCGAUAGGUAGGGGUCCUGAGAGGGAGACCCCCCACACUGGUACUGAGACACGGACCAGACUCCUACGGGAGGCAGCAGUGAGGAAUAUUGGACAAUGGAGGCAACUCUGAUCCAGCCAUGCCGCGUGCAGGAAGACUGCCCUAUGGGUUGUAAACUGCUUUUAUACAGGAAGAAAUAUACCUACGUGUAGGUAUUCGACGGUACUUACGAAUAAGAUCGGCUAACUCCGUGCCAGCAGCCGCGGUAAUACGGACGAUCCAAGCGUUAUCCGGAAUCAUUGGGUUUAAAGGGUCCGUAGGCGGUCUUUUAAGUCAGAGGUGAAAUCCUACAGCUCAACUGUAGAAUUGCCUUUGAUACUGAAAGACUUGAGUUAUUGUGAAGUAGUUAGAAUGUGUGGUGUAGCGGUGAAAUGCAUAGAGAUCACACAGAAUACCGAUUGCGAAGGCAGAUUACUAACAAUAUACUGACGCUGAGGGACGAAAGCGUGGGUAGCGAACAGGAUUAGAUACCCUGGUAGUCCACGCCGUAAACGAUGGAUACUAGCUGUUCGACCAACAUUGGUUGGUUGAGUGGCUAAGCGAAAGUGAUAAGUAUCCCACCUGGGGAGUACGGUCGCAAGACUGAAACUCGAAGGAAUUGACGGGGGCCCGCACAAGCGGUGGAGCAUGUGGUUUAAUUCGAUGAUACGCGAGGAACCUUACCAGGGCUUAAAUGUAAGUUGCAUGAUUUAGAGAUAGAUCUUUCUUCGGACUACUUACAAGGUGCUGCAUGGUUGUCGUCAGCUCGUGCCGUGAGGUGUCAGGUUAAGUCCUAUAACGAGCGCAACCCCUGUCGUUAGUUGCCAGCAAGUUAAGUUGGGCACUCUAGCGAGACUGCCAGUGCAAACUGUGAGGAAGGUGGGGAUGACGUCAAAUCAUCACGGCCCUUACGUCCUGGGCUACACACGUGCUACAAUGGUCGGUACAGAGAGCAGCCACUACGCGAGUAGGAGCGAAUCUAUAAAACCGAUCUCAGUUCGGAUCGCAGUCUGCAACUCGACUGCGUGAAGCUGGAAUCGCUAGUAAUCGGAUAUCAGCCAUGAUCCGGUGAAUACGUUCCCGGGCCUUGUACACACCGCCCGUCAAGCCAUGGAAGCUGGGAGUACCUGAAGUCGGUUACCGCAAGGAGCUGCCUAGGGUAAAUCUGGUAACUGGGCUA
Molecule: ribosomal RNA, 1429 nt
Filed under: uncultured bacterium
Lineage: Bacteria
Description: bacterial SSU rRNA
Rfam family: Bacterial small subunit ribosomal RNA
Source: RNAcentral